AGAGUUUGAUCCUGGCUCAGAUUGAACGCUGGCGGCAUGCCUUACACAUGCAAGUCGAACGGCAGCGCGGGGCAACCUGGCGGCGAGUGGCGAACGGGUGAGUAAUAUAUCGGAACGUACCCUGGAGUGGGGGAUAACGUAGCGAAAGUUACGCUAAUACCGCAUACGAUCUAAGGAUGAAAGCAGGGGACCGCAAGGCCUUGUGCUCCUGGAGCGGCCGAUAUCUGAUUAGCUAGUUGGUGGGGUAAAGGCCUACCAAGGCAUCGAUCAGUAGCUGGUCUGAGAGGACGACCAGCCACACUGGAACUGAGACACGGUCCAGACUCCUACGGGAGGCAGCAGUGGGGAAUUUUGGACAAUGGGCGCAAGCCUGAUCCAGCAAUGCCGCGUGAGUGAAGAAGGCCUUCGGGUUGUAAAGCUCUUUUGUCAGGGAAGAAACGGUGAGGGCUAAUAUCCUUUGCUAAUGACGGUACCUGAAGAAUAAGCACCGGCUAACUACGUGCCAGCAGCCGCGGUAAUACGUAGGGUGCAAGCGUUAAUCGGAAUUACUGGGCGUAAAGCGUGCGCAGGCGGUUUUGUAAGUCUGUCGUGAAAUCCUCGGGCUCAACCUGAGAAUUGCGAUGGAGACUGCAAGGCUAGAAUCUGGCAGAGGGGGGUAGAAUUCCACGUGUAGCAGUGAAAUGCGUAGAGAUGUGGAGGAACACCGAUGGCGAAGGCAGCCCCCUGGGUCAAGAUUGACGCUCAUGCACGAAAGCGUGGGGAGCAAACAGGAUUAGAUACCCUGGUAGUCCACGCCCUAAACGAUGUCUACUAGUUGUCGGGUUUUAAUUAACUUGGUAACGCAGCUAACGCGUGAAGUAGACCGCCUGGGGAGUACGGUCGCAAGAUUAAAACUCAAAGGAAUUGACGG
RNAcentral lists this ribosomal RNA (910 nucleotides) under uncultured bacterium. RNAcentral describes it as "bacterial SSU rRNA". It matches the Rfam family "Bacterial small subunit ribosomal RNA", at positions 8 to 916 of the family's 1533-position model. The record is from RNAcentral.